Molecule: ribosomal RNA, 594 nt
Filed under: uncultured fungus
Lineage: Eukaryota; Fungi
Description: eukaryotic LSU rRNA
Rfam family: Eukaryotic large subunit ribosomal RNA
Source: RNAcentral
UAUCAAUAAGCGGAGGAAAAGAAACCAACAGGGAUUACCUCAGUAACGGCGAGUGAAGCGGUAACAGCUCAAAUUUGAAAUCUGGCUCUUUCAGGNUCCGAGUUGUAAUUUGUAGAAGAUGCUUUGGGUGUGGCCCUGGUCUAAGUUCCUUGGAACAGGACGUCAUAGAGGGUGAGAAUCCCGUAUGUGACUAGGUGCUUUCGCCCGUGUAAAGCUCUUUCGACGAGUCGAGUUGUUUGGGAAUGCAGCUCAAAAUGGGUGGUAAAUUUCAUCUAAAGCUAAAUAUUGGCCAGAGACCGAUAGCGCACAAGUAGAGUGAUCGAAAGAUGAAAAGCACUUUGGAAAGAGAGUUAAACAGUACGUGAAAUUGUUGAAAGGGAAGCGCUUGCAACCAGACUUAGUUGCGGCCGAUCAUCUAGGGUUCUCCCUGGUGCACUCGGUCGUAUCUAGGCCAGCAUCGGUUUGGGUGGUGGGAUAAAGGCCUUGGGAAUGUAGCUUCUUUCGGGGAGUGUUAUAGCCCUCGGUGCAAUGCCGCCUACCUGGACUGAGGACCGCGCUUCGGCUAGGAUGCUGGCGUAAUGGUUGUAAGCGACC